Molecule: long non-coding RNA, 736 nt
Organism: Oncorhynchus tshawytscha (Chinook salmon)
Lineage: Eukaryota; Metazoa; Chordata; Actinopteri; Salmoniformes; Salmonidae
Exons: 4
Source: RefSeq, a predicted model, not a curated record
CAUCACUGUCUCCUUCUCUCUCGCUAUCUCCCACCGUCUCUCUCUCUCUUUGAAGAGGAGGAUGAAAAGAUCACAGAGCUGAAGCCUGGUCCAGAAUCUGACCAGCAUGAAGAGGAGGACAUCAAGGAGACGAAAGAGGGCUACCCCUGCAGGGAGCUGACAGAGGAAGAGAAGCAGCAGAUCCUCUAAUCAGAGGAGUUCCUCAGUUUCUUUGACUGCAGCAUCAGAGUGAUGGAGAGAGCCCUGGCUCAGGAAUCAGACAUCUUCUUCAACUACAGCGGACAAGACCUGGAUGACAAGGAGGGGGACUUACAAGGCGGGUCCAGUCAGUCCCUCAGUAGGUUGUUCUAUGACGAUCACUGGUCCAAACAUUGAGUCAUCACCUGUCUGGACUGGUCCCCUCGGUACCCAGAGCUGUUGGUGGCGUCCUACAACAACAAUGAGGAUGCUCCUCACGAGCCUGACGGUGUAGCUCUGGUCUGGAACAUGAAGUUUAACAAGAACACACCUGAGUAUGUCUUCCACUGCCAGGUAAAAUCAGUCCCAGGUCCAGGUCUAUAAAUAUGUUGGGUACAGGGCCUGUAUUCACAAAGUGUCUGAUCUAGGUUGAUAUGACCUAUAACUGUUCCCCACAGGAUACAGAUGCUGGAUUCGUGUGAUAUAUAUGUCUAUAUAUUUAACAACAGUCUGAUUCACAAUUGUGUUUUGAGUCUCAACAGAGCCUAAAUAAAAAUGU